Molecule: unclassified non-coding RNA, 142 nt
Organism: Macaca fascicularis (crab-eating macaque)
Lineage: Eukaryota; Metazoa; Chordata; Mammalia; Primates; Cercopithecidae
Rfam family: Metazoan signal recognition particle RNA
About the family: The signal recognition particle (SRP) is a universally conserved ribonucleoprotein.
Source: Ensembl
GCUGGGCGUGGUGGCGCAUGCCUGUAGUCCCAGCUACUUGGGAGGCUGAGGCAGAAGAAUUGCUUGAACCCAGGAGGUUUCAGUGAGCCGAGAUCGAGCCAUUGCACUCCAGCCUGGGUGACAGAGUAAGACUCUGUCUCGA